This 301-nucleotide ribosomal RNA is filed under the name uncultured bacterium. RNAcentral's name for it is "partial 16S ribosomal RNA". It matches the Rfam family "Bacterial small subunit ribosomal RNA", at positions 509 to 807 of the family's 1533-position model. The record is from RNAcentral.
CAGUCGCCGCGGUAAUACAGAGGGUGCGAGCGUUAAUCGGAUUUACUGGGCGUAAAGCGUGCGUAGGCGGCUUCUUAAGUCGGAUGUGAAAUCCCUGAGCUUAACUUAGGAAUUGCAUUCGAUACUGGGAAGCUAGAGUAUGGGAGAGGAUGGUAGAAUUCCAGGUGUAGCGGUGAAAUGCGUAGAGAUCUGGAGGAAUACCGAUGGCGAAGGCAGCCAUCUGGCCUAAUACUGACGCUGAGGUACGAAAGCAUGGGGAGCAAACAGGAUUAGAUACCCCUGUAGUUCCUGUCUCUUAUAC